Molecule: ribosomal RNA, 492 nt
Filed under: uncultured bacterium
Lineage: Bacteria
Description: partial 16S ribosomal RNA
Rfam family: Bacterial small subunit ribosomal RNA
Source: RNAcentral
AGUGAACACUGGCGGUAGGCCUAACACAUGCAAGUCGAACGGCAGCACAGUAAGAGCUUGCUCUUACGGGUGGCGAGUGGCGGACGGGUGAGGAAUACAUCGGAAUCUACUUUUUCGUGGGGGAUAACGUAGGGAAACUUACGCUAAUACCGCAUACGACCUACGGGUGAAAGCAGGGGAUCUUCGGACCUUGCGCGAUUGAAUGAGCCGAUGUCGGAUUAGCUAGUUGGCGGGGUAAAGGCCCACCAAGGCGACGAUCCGUAGCUGGUCUGAGAGGAUGAUCAGCCACACUGGAACUGAGACACGGUCCAGACUCCUACGGGAGGCAGCAGUGGGGAAUAUUGGACAAAGGGCGCAAGCCUGAUCCAGCCAUACCGCGUGGGUGAAGAAGGCCUUCGGGUUGUAAAGCCCUUUUGUUGGGAAAGAAAAGCAGCAGGUUAAUACCCCGCUGUUCUGACGGUACCCAAAGAAUAAGCACCGGCUAACUUCGUG